CUGAAUAGAGCACAACAAUUGCCUCUCAGAUCCUGAAUAUGACGUUUAUGUUAAAACAUCAUUCCUUUGAUAUCUGGCUUUUUGCAAAAGAUUCACACAUUGGAUGUAUAGUUUUGUAAUUGGACACUAUUUCUGUUGUGUAGUACUUCACACUUGUUUUUAUUGAAUACUGGAUUUUAUUGAAUCUUGUGGAAUUCAUUCUAUCAAAUUGGUAAAGAUAAUUUGGAAGAGAAAAUCAGAAUUCAAAAAAGUGCUAGCCAAUCCCAUGCCACAGUGGCCUUAUCAAAGGUAGAAGACGCAGACCAACCAGACAGAUUCCCCACUACUGCAAAGAACUACCUGUGCCUACAAGAAGUUCUGCAGGACGGCAGAAGAGUAUGCACCCCCUCUGUCCAUGAUAAAAUAGUGCACAUUGCAUAUCUAUGGAGGUUUUUGCUUGUUUACUAUGACAAGAGUAUUUACUAAUUGUUGAAAGUUAAUCUUCAUUAAGGUAAUGCUCAGGAACCUCUCCACAAUUCUUUGAACUCCAUGCAAGUCAAAGUAGCUCCAGCUAAAGCAUUUCCAUGUAAAAAGAAAGACUAAAUUAUUUCCUCUUGCACAUAUUAUUUAUCUUUAAUUAUUCACCAAUUCAAUACAUUUGAGCUAUCCAAGAUGAGUACUCUGUGAAUAACCAGUGAUGUAGCUUUACACUUUAAUUCCCUUUUAAGUCCUUUUUUCCUCUGACAUGUUAAUUUAGAGUUUCUGCAAUUUUUUCCCAAAAACACAUCUUAAAAAAUAAUUUAAGAUGUUUCGUUUAAAUGCUACAGCAGGAAACAGAUUUAAACACUGAAUGAUACAAAUGUAAACAUUAUUUUCCAUGAAUAACUAAUAUGCUCUCAAAACAUGACAAUUUUUCAAUAUUAGAGUCCUACCUUCAUAUACAACUGAUGGUAUACAUUGUUUGGCAUAACCUUCCUAUAAGUUUUAAUUAGAUAUUGUGUAUCUUGCACUAUUUGGGGGUCGGAGAGGGGAAAUAUACAGCUAACCCUUGUCAAGAGAUGCCUAAGCUUUCCAGACCAACUUCUACAAAAGACUGGGGGACAUUAAAAAAAAA
Molecule: long non-coding RNA, 1093 nt
Organism: Gavialis gangeticus (Gharial)
Lineage: Eukaryota; Metazoa; Chordata; Crocodylia; Gavialidae
Exons: 2
Source: RefSeq, a predicted model, not a curated record